AGUAACGGCGAGUGAAGCGGGAAAAGCUCAAAUUUAAAAUCUGGCGGUCCCUGUGGCCGUCCGAGUUGUAAUUUAGAGAAGUGUUAUCCGUGCUGGACCGUGUACAAGUCUCCUGGAAUGGAGCGUCAUAGAGGGUGAGAAUCCCGUCUUUGACACGGACUGCCAGUGCAUUGUGAUGCGCUCUCAAAGAGUCGAGUUGUUUGGG
RNAcentral lists this ribosomal RNA (205 nucleotides) under Mycena sp. Its description in RNAcentral is "partial large subunit ribosomal RNA". It matches the Rfam family "Eukaryotic large subunit ribosomal RNA", at positions 82 to 278 of the family's 3401-position model. The record is from RNAcentral. Lineage: Eukaryota; Fungi; Basidiomycota; Agaricomycetes; Agaricales; Mycenaceae.